AAAAAAAAAAAUGAAUAUUUUAUUCACUUUCACAGUAGAAUAGUAUAUUCCAGAUAACUACUAUAUUAUUUACAACCAAUAAAAAUUUGGUUUGAAUAAUAAUUCCACAGCCUCUGUCAAAUAAAACAGAAUAAAGAAAUGAUUAAAAAUAAAUGAUUGAUUUUGGCACAUACUGGAUAUUUAUCGUAUUAUAUACAUACAUGUAAUUAUAAGAAAAGGACAAAUGUGUUUAGAACCCUUAAACAAAAUGUGCCCUUUUGUCACAUAUUUACUCUUUAGUUAAGUAAGGUAAUAUAGUUUUUGCAAAUAAGUUUAUACAGUUAUAAGGGUACUACUAAAAAAAAACAGUAAGCGAUUGUAAGUUUAAUUUUAAAUAGACAUAUUUGAUAUAAGAACAGGGAUGCAAAAACAAUGUUGUUAUCAGAGAUAUUUUUCUCUCUUUUUUUUGUAUCAAUAGGAUGUGCUUGUACAUAUACUUUUUGUUUCAGUAACCAUCAAACUUAAAAUUCAACAGAAGGUUAAAUUGAAUAUUCAACAGAAGGUUAAAUUGAAUAUUCAACAGAAGGUUAAAUUGAAUAUUCAACAGAAGAUAAAUUGAAUAUUCAACAGAAGAUAAAAUUGAAUAUUCAACAGAAGAUAAAAUUGAAUAUUCAACAGAAGGUUAAAUUGAAUAUUCAACAGAAGAUAAAUUGAAUAUUCAACAGAAGAUAAAAUUGAAUAUUCAACAGAAGAUUAAAUUGAAUAUUCAAC
This 750-nucleotide long non-coding RNA is filed under the name Mytilus galloprovincialis (Mediterranean mussel). The record is from RNAcentral. Lineage: Eukaryota; Metazoa; Mollusca; Bivalvia; Mytilida; Mytilidae.